UUGACCACUCUGGAGACAGAGCUUUCCCUUCGGGGACAAAGUGACAGGUGGUGCAUGGUUGUCGUCAGCUCGUGUCGUGAGAUGUUGGGUUAAGUCCCGCAACGAGCGCAACCCUUGAUUUUAGUUGCCAGCAUUUAGUUGGGCACUCUAAAGUGACUGCCGGUGCAAGCCGGAGGAAGGUGGGGAUGACGUCAAAUCAUCAUGCCCCUUAUGACCUGGGCUACACACGUGCUACAAUGGAUAGUACAAAGGGUCGCGAAGCCGCGAGGUGGAGCUAAUCCCAUAAAACUAUUCUCAGUUCGGAUUGUAGGCUGCAACUCGCCUACAUGAAGCCGGAAUCGCUAGUAAUCGUGGAUCAGCAUGCCACGGUGAAUACGUUCCCGGGCCUUGUACACACCGCCCGUCACACCACGAGAGUUUGUAACACCCGAAGUCGGUAGGGUAACCUUUAUGGAGCCAGCCGCCGAAGGUGGGACAGAUAAUUGGGGUGAAGUCGUAACAAGGUAGCCGUAUCGGAAGGUGCGGCUGGAUCACCUCCUUUCUAAGGAA
Molecule: ribosomal RNA, 549 nt
Filed under: Listeria monocytogenes
Lineage: Bacteria; Bacillati; Bacillota; Bacilli; Caryophanales; Listeriaceae
Description: bacterial SSU rRNA
Rfam family: Bacterial small subunit ribosomal RNA
Source: RNAcentral